UGGCUCAGAACGAACGCUGGCGGCAGGCUUAACACAUGCAAGUCGAACGCCCCGCAAGGGGAGUGGCAGACGGGUGAGUAACGCGUGGGAACGUACCCUUUACUACGGAAUAACUCAGGGAAACUUGUGCUAAUACCGUAUGUGCCCUUCGGGGGAAAGAUUUAUCGGUAAAGGAUCGGCCCGCGUUGGAUUAGCUAGUUGGUGGGGUAAAGGCCUACCAAGGCGACGAUCCAUAGCUGGUCUGAGAGGAUGAUCAGCCACAUUGGGACUGAGACACGGCCCAAACUCCUACGGGAGGCAGCAGUGGGGAAUAUUGGACAAUGGGCGCAAGCCUGAUCCAGCCAUGCCGCGUGAGUGAUGAAGGCCCUAGGGUUGUAAAGCUCUUUCACCGGUGAAGAUAAUGACGGUAACCGGAGAAGAAGCCCCGGCUAACUUCGUGCCAGCAGCCGCGGUAAUACGAAGGGGGCUAGCGUUGUUCGGAAUUACUGGGCGUAAAGCGCACGUAGGCGGGUAUUUAAGUCAGGGGUGAAAUCCCGGAGCUCAACUCCGGAACUGCCUUUGAUACUGGGUACCUAGAGUAUGGAAGAGGUAAGUGGAAUUCCGAGUGUAGAGGUGAAAUUCGUAGAUAUUCGGAGGAACACCAGUGGCGAAGGCGGCUUACUGGUCCAUUACUGACG
This 677-nucleotide ribosomal RNA is filed under the name Rhizobium sp. RNAcentral describes it as "bacterial SSU rRNA". It matches the Rfam family "Bacterial small subunit ribosomal RNA", at positions 20 to 745 of the family's 1533-position model. Lineage: Bacteria; Pseudomonadati; Pseudomonadota; Alphaproteobacteria; Hyphomicrobiales; Rhizobiaceae. The record is from RNAcentral.